RNAcentral lists this ribosomal RNA (325 nucleotides) under uncultured eukaryote. Its description in RNAcentral is "partial 18S ribosomal RNA". It matches the Rfam family "Eukaryotic small subunit ribosomal RNA", at positions 1470 to 1796 of the family's 1831-position model. The record is from RNAcentral.
CCCUUAGAUGUCCUGGGCCGCACGCGCGCUACACUGAUGCAUUCAACGAGUAUUUCCUUGGCCGAGAGGCCUGGGCAAUCUUUUAAACCUGCAUCGUGAUAGGGAUAGAUUAUUGCAAUUAUUAAUCUUGAACGAGGAAUUCCUAGUAAACGCAAAUCAUCAAUUUGCAUUGAUUACGUCCCUGCCCUUUGUACACACCGCCCGUCGCACCUACCGAUUGAAUGGUCCGGUGAAAUCUCGGGAUUGUGGCCAGUUCACUUUAUUGGGAGUUGACUGCGAGAACUUGCUUAAACCUUAUCAUUUAGAGGAAGGUGAAGUCGUAACA